RNAcentral lists this ribosomal RNA (504 nucleotides) under uncultured bacterium. RNAcentral's name for it is "bacterial SSU rRNA". It matches the Rfam family "Bacterial small subunit ribosomal RNA", at positions 8 to 526 of the family's 1533-position model. The record is from RNAcentral.
AGAGUUUGAUCAUGGCUCAGGAUGAACGCUGGCGGCGUGCCUAACCCAUGUAAGUCGGGCGAUCUGCUCGCAAGAGCAGAGAGCGGCGGAAGGGUGAGUAACACGUAGGAGACCUGCCUCAUCGCAGGGAACAACCCCGCGAAAGCGGGGCUAAUACCCAAGAGGGUCGGUGGUUCGCUCCACCGGUCAGAGUGCCUGCGCAAGCGGGCGCGUGAUGAGAGGGUCCUGCGGCCCAUCAGCUAGUUGGUAGGGUAGUGGCCUACCAAGGCAACGACGGGUAGGGGGUCUGAGAGGACGAUCCCCCACACUGGAACUGAAACACGGUCCAGACGCCUACGGGUGGCAGCAGGGAGGAAUAUUGGGCAAUGGGCGAAAGCCUGACCCAGCAACGCCGCGUGGAGGACGAAGGCCUUCGGGUCGUAAACUCCUUUUGAGGGAGACGGGCAAGGACGGUAUCCCUCGAAUAAGCCACGGCUAACUACGUGCCAGCCGCCGCGGUAAUAC